GGGCCACGAGGCCUUGGCCUGGUGUGUUGGGGGAAGUAGCUCUCUGCGUGCCCUUGGUGGUGUGCAUGUCUCUGGGGCUGGGCUUAGGUGUCGCCUCCCUUCCCGGGUCACAGGAUGUCCUCCACUUGUGGCUCUGCACUGAGGCUUGGUAGAGGCCCCUGUGACAGCUCAGUAGUGCAGGCUGCGGACCCGUCCGGCUGGUGUGGGAGGACUGGGUGCUCCUUCCAGCUGUGGGACUCGCAGAGGUGGCUGCAGCUCUCUGGGCUGCAUCAUCUGCAUAGAAGGAGCAUUCACCUUGGCCCUGCCUCCACACAGGGCCAUUCACCAGCCAUACAUGUCUGGCCAUUUACAAUCUCUUUUCUUCGGUUUUCCUCAGUGAAAAUGGACUCAUGGUCGUAUCAACCUCUUAGGGCUCCUGUGACGAUGAACUGAGUUAUGUAAAUUUAGCAAUCAGCUAUCAUCAUGGCCCCAUCAAUGGAAUCAGACCAGGCCAGGAGUGCUGUUCUCCCCGCUCUCUACCACAACGAAUGUCUCUUAGCCGUUUACCAAAGCCCUUGGGCGCCAGAUGAGUGAGUCCUCUCUUGUAGGUCCUGCCGCAGAAAGGAAUUAGAGCCCAGUAAAAAUUAGGCAGAAGCAAGUUCAACUUCAUCAGCAUGUAGAAUUCUCUCCUAAAAUCACAGCCCACUCUGGAAAGGCCUUCUUCGUGGGGAGGGUUAUGGGAGGGUGGGCUGCAGGGUGGCCAUGAGACCAGCGUCCAGGGGUGAGGAUUUGCACUGGGAAAGGGUACGUGGCGCUCAGGGAGCUGCAGCAGAAACAGGCCUGAGAUCUGGGGUCCUGCGGCACCUGGGCACAGCAAGUGCCCUGCAGUCGCUCCUCCUGGCCCUCCGUGGCUGGCCUUGUCCUUGAGUGGGGUCAGCGUCCCUGAGGGAGAGGCAGCCAGAGUAGUGGGUGAUGUGGGGACAAGCCUGUAAUAGUCACUCCUUAUCAGCCUGGCCCAACGCGGCAGGCCUUUCUUGGGCUUUAUUUUGGUAAGGGUGAGGCUUUGUUUGAACUCACAUUCUCUGUUGUUCUGAGUAACCACACGUAGUGCCAAACCGAGAUGGACUUUGGUGGUCUGUGCCAACCUUUGGCUGAAGAACACACUUAGGAGAGCGGCUCCUUUUUUGGGUAGGAAAAUAUUCUUUGUGGCUGGCAAGUGCUGCCUUGAACUUCCUACUUACUUCAUUAGCAGAUUGUCAGGGGAGAUGUGUCAGCUAUCCCGGGACCCCUUGGCGGGGCGGGGGGGGGGCCAGCCCCCUCCCCAGCUCUGUACUCUGGGGCCCUCACCCCUGAAUCCUGGGAAAGCUAGCACCUAAGAGUAAUCCCGCCGGCUUAAGACCCUCACCUGCUGGGGUUUCUUUUUAAGGACCCAUGUGACAAGGUGCUGAUGAAUCAACGUUAUCACCUCUGUCAGGAAUAAUAAGUAAAUUUUUUGAGAUUUUAUGAAAUGCUGGGAACUAAGUUAGCAUUUGCUUGCAUGAUCUCAUUAUAUCUGUAAGACAGCAUUUCUGAAACUACUUGCUACAACCCAUAGUAAAAACUAUAUGGUACGCCAUGACCCAGGACACACAUGUAUAAACAUCCCAUAAAACUGAAGCAAAAGUUCCCAGAACUCAUACAAAACCUUACUACGUGUAUUGUACUGGGAUAUUUUCUAUUCUAUUUCAACGUUUGGAAAGGUCAUGACUCGCCAAACUGCUUUCAGGAUCCACUGUGGGCACAGGUCAAGAAACGGAGCCCUGGAGGCCUGCACUGGCAUCAGCCUCUUCUGUGUGGUGGGAAACUCAAGUUCAGGGUCAGGUGGUUCGUCCACAUUCCUGCAGCCUGCAGAUGGCAGAGCCAGGACCCCACGCCAUCUCCAGUCCAGUCUUUAUCAGCCUGGGAGGCGGGCUGGGCCCCAGGAUUAUCCCCCUUUCACAGAUGGUAAAAUCGAGGAAGGAGUUGAGCAGGAUCUUGGCCAGAGCCGUGUGUGUGGCAGAGCCGUGUGUGUUCCAGAGCCGUGUGUGUGGCAGAGCCGUACCUUGAAGUUGGGUUUCCACCUCGGCCUUUCACAGACACCCAGCUUACAUGUUCUAGGUCCUUCCAGAUCAAUAGCUGCACUCUCCCUCCUUCCUCUGCUGGUUUCUCAGCUCGAUGGGCUGUAAGUGGCAUUACCAGGCCCCUGCUUGUGGGCGUGGUGGGGUUUUCUGUAGGUUUUUGCUAUUACAGGCAAUAACUUGAGGAACUUCUACAUAUACAAAGCUUUUAUUCUAUGGAGACUUCCCCUAUAUACGUGCCCCAGAGCAAGGUCCCUGAAGCUGCUUCUGGGGGCUUUGGGGUACCAUUCCAGUAAAAGGUUCUCUAAGGGCUGAAGCCCCUCUGUCGGGAGGCCCCUCUGCUUUUCUAAGCCCUGCCCACCCCCGCCCUCAGGGCCCACUCCUCCCACCUCUUCUUUUGCACACAGGGACCCCCUCCUGGCCCUGGGUCCCUGAGGACUCGCAGCGUCCUGUGGGACAGGCUGGCUCCUGUAUGAACAAAUGCACCUGCCUGCGAGGCUGGUCUUCCCAGACUCCUUGGAAGGGGGAGCCCACACCCGGGUCCCCGUGCUGUGGCCUCCGUGGUGAAGCUGGAUGUUUCUCUGGAAUGCCACGUUUUAUGGUUGUUUUUUAAUAUGGAUUUUGCUUCAUCUUUCAUAAAACAACCACAUGUAUUUUAGUAUAAAAAGAAUAUCUUACUCUA
This is a long non-coding RNA of Pan troglodytes (chimpanzee), 2757 nucleotides long. RefSeq lists it as uncharacterized. The record is from RefSeq and is a predicted model, not a curated record. The transcript has 2 exons. Lineage: Eukaryota; Metazoa; Chordata; Mammalia; Primates; Hominidae.